GCCGGGUGCAGUGGUGCAUGCCUGUCAUCCCAGCGGCUCAGGAGGCCGAGGCAGGAGGAUCUCAAGUUCAAAGCCAGCCUCAGCAACUUAGUGAGGCCUUAAGCAACUCAGCGAGACCCUGUCUCUA
This 127-nucleotide small RNA is filed under the name Marmota monax (woodchuck). Lineage: Eukaryota; Metazoa; Chordata; Mammalia; Rodentia; Sciuridae. The record is from RNAcentral.